This 253-nucleotide ribosomal RNA is filed under the name uncultured bacterium. Its description in RNAcentral is "partial 16S ribosomal RNA". It matches the Rfam family "Bacterial small subunit ribosomal RNA", at positions 524 to 776 of the family's 1533-position model. The record is from RNAcentral.
UACGGAGGGUGCGAGCGUUGUCCGGAAUCACUGGGCGUAAAGGGCGCGUAGGUGGCUUGGUAAGCGUGCGGUGAAAGCCCGGGGCUCAACUCCGGGUCUGCCGUGCGAACUGCCAGGCUUGAGCACGGUAGAGGCCAAUGGAAUUCCGGGUGUAGCGGUGGAAUGCGUAGAGAUCCGGAAGAACACCGGUGGCGAAGGCGGUUGGCUGGGCCGUUGCUGACACUGAGGCGCGAAGGCUAGGGGAGCAAACGGG